AGGCAUCUUUUUGUUUUUAAAAGACCUUCUUACGAAGGUAUGCUUAAAGAGGGGCUUGCGCCACAUUAGUUAGUUGGUAGAGUAAAAGCCUACCAAGACGAUGAUGUGUAGCUGGACUGAGAGGUUGAACAGCCACAUUGGGACUGAGACACGGCCCAAACUCCUACGGGAGGCAGCAGUAGGGAAUUUUCGGCAAUGGAGGAAACUCUGACCGAGCAACGCCGCGUGAACGAUGAAGUAUUUCGGUAUGUAAAGUUCUUUUAUUGAAGAAGAAAAAGUAGUGGAAAAACUAUAUUGACGUUAUUCAAUGAAUAAGCCCCGGCUAACUAUGUGCCAGCAGCCGCGGUAAGACAUAGGGGGCGAGCGUUAUCCGGAAUUAUUGGGCGUAAAGGGUGCGUAGGCUGUUAGAUAAGUCUAUAAUUUAAUUUCAGUGCUUAACGCUGUCUUGUUAUAGAAACUGUCUUGACUAGAGUGAGAUAGAGGCAAGCGGAAUUCCAUGUGUAGCGGUAAAAUGUGUAAAUAUAUGGAGGAACACCAGAAGCGUAGGCGGCUUGCUGGGUCUUUACUGACGCUGAGGCACGAAAGCGUGGGUAGCAAACAGGAUUAGAUACCCUGGUAGUCCACGCCGUAAACGAUGAGUACUAAGUGUCGGGGUAAAACUCGGUACUGAAGUUAACACAUUAAGUACUCCGCCUGAGUAGUACGUACGCAAGUAUGAAACUUAAAGGAAUUGACGGGACUCCGCACAAGCGGUGGAUCAUGUUGUUUAAUUCGAAGAUACACGAAAAAUCUUACCAGGUCUUGACAUACUCUGCAAAGCUAUAGAAAUAUAGUGGAGGUUAUCAGGGAUACAGGUGGUGCAUGGUUGUCGUCAGUUCGUGUCGUGAGAUGUUAGGUUAAGUCCUAAAACGAACGCAACCCUUGUCGUUAAUUGCCAGCACAUAAUGGUGGGGACUUUAACGAGACUGCCAAUUAAACAUUGGAGGAAGGUGAGGAUUACGUCAAAUCAUCAUGCCCCUUAUGAUCUGGGCUACAAACGUGAUACAAUGGCUGUGACAAAGAGUAGCUGAAACGCGAGUUUUUAGCCAAUCUCAAAAAAGCAGUCUCAGUUCGGAUUGAAGUCUGUAACUCGACUUCAUGAAGUUGGAAUCGCUAGUAAUCGCGAAUCAGCAUGUCGCGGUGAAUACGUUCUCGGGGUUUGUACACACCGCCCGUCAAACCACGAAAGUUAGCAAU
This 1236-nucleotide ribosomal RNA is filed under the name Candidatus Phytoplasma trifolii. RNAcentral describes it as "bacterial SSU rRNA". It matches the Rfam family "Bacterial small subunit ribosomal RNA", at positions 186 to 1418 of the family's 1533-position model. The record is from RNAcentral. Lineage: Bacteria; Bacillati; Mycoplasmatota; Mollicutes; Acholeplasmatales; Acholeplasmataceae.